RNAcentral lists this ribosomal RNA (254 nucleotides) under uncultured soil bacterium. RNAcentral describes it as "partial 16S ribosomal RNA". It matches the Rfam family "Bacterial small subunit ribosomal RNA", at positions 26 to 261 of the family's 1533-position model. The record is from RNAcentral.
AGAAUCAACGCUGGCGGCGUGCCUCAGACAUGCAAGUCGAACGCGAAAGUCCCCUUCGGGGGGCAAGUAGAGUGGCGCACGGGUGAGUAACACGUAGGUAAUCUACCUUUGGAUGGGGAAUAACAAUCGGAAACGAUUGCUAAUACCGCAUAAUGCAGCGGCACCUAAUGGUGACAGUUGUUAAAGCGGGGGUAUCGAAAGACCGUCGCGUCUGAAGAGGAGCCUGCGGCGGAUUAGCUAGUUGGUAAGGUAAU